AAAGUGUACUCUCAUAACGUAAGCUACAAACUAGCCUUUGUUAAUUCAAACUUAUAAAAUUAAUAAACCUAGAUCUAAACCUUCACCUUUCUUAAAAAAAUAAUACUUUUCAAUGGCACUUGUAAUUGCCAAAGCACUCCCAUAGAAUGGAAGUCCAUGCCCACCCACCCCUGAAACGCCAUUCUUUCCAUACAUGGUCGCAGCUCUCACAGAACACAAUCCAGGGCCCCUGGUCAUGUGUGAUGCUAUAACAGGAUGAACUCAACAGAGCAAAUCUGUAAAAUAUGCUUAUCCAGGUUGAAACAUGGCAGAAAUAACUAGAUUAACAACAGUACUCUUAUAAUAAAGGACUUAGAACCAAACCCAGUAAUUGGAUUUAUUGUCAAAGAUACAUUCCAAGUUUUUCAUUCAUUCUAUGAAUUCUGAGAGGGCUGGCAUGAACAGUCACUUGGCAAGUAUUGACCAAUGAUCAUGGCUGAGCAUUGUGUCCAUGUUCAGGUUUGAACAAAAGGCUGCUAAAAAUUUCUUGAUGUCAGAAAAGGCCCACUUCAGGAGAAAAUAUACAAAAUGUUAACAUACUGUAGAGAUGAGCAGCAGAAAUCCACAGUGAACACUUUAGGAAACAGAAGAGUGGCCCUUACUCACUGGGG
Molecule: long non-coding RNA, 650 nt
Filed under: Bos taurus (domestic cattle)
Lineage: Eukaryota; Metazoa; Chordata; Mammalia; Artiodactyla; Bovidae
Description: long non-coding RNA NONBTAT024163
Source: RNAcentral